UCUUGGUCAUUUAGAGGAAGUAAAAGUCGUAACAAGGUCUCCGUUGGUGAACCAGCGGAGGGAUCAUUACCGAGUUUACAACUCCCAAACCCAAUGUGAACCAUACCAAACUGUUGCCUCGGCGGGGUCACGCCCCGGGUGCGUCGCAGCCCCGGAACCAGGCGCCCGCCGGAGGGACCAACCAAACUCUUUUCUGUAGUCCCCUCGCGGACGUUAUUUCUUACAGCUCUGAGCAAAAAUUCAAAAUGAAUCAAAACUUUCAACAACGGAUCUCUUGGUUCUGGCAUCGAUGAAGAACGCAGCGAAAUGCGAUAAGUAAUGUGAAUUGCAGAAUUCAGUGAAUCAUCGAAUCUUUGAACGCACAUUGCGCCCGCCAGUAUUCUGGCGGGCAUGCCUGUCCGAGCGUCAUUUCAACCCUCGAACCCCUCCGGGGGGUCGGCGUUGGGGACCUCGGGAGCCCCUAAGACGGGAUCCCGGCCCCGAAAUACAGUGGCGGUCUCGCCGCAGCCUCUCCUGCGCAGUAGUUUGCACAACUCGCACCGGGAGCGCGGCGCGUCCACGUCCGUAAAACACCCAACUUCUGAAAUGUUGACCUCGGAUCAGGUAGGAAUACCCGCUGAACUUAAGCAUAUCAAUAAGCGGAGGAA
This 647-nucleotide ribosomal RNA is filed under the name Trichoderma sp. 1 TMS-2011. RNAcentral describes it as "eukaryotic LSU rRNA". The stretch from base 255 to 408 matches the Rfam family "5.8S ribosomal RNA". Lineage: Eukaryota; Fungi; Ascomycota; Sordariomycetes; Hypocreales; Hypocreaceae. The record is from RNAcentral. RNAcentral also lists the same sequence under 1 other name.